RNAcentral lists this transfer RNA (23 nucleotides) under Chalcolestes viridis. RNAcentral describes it as "partial tRNA-Tyr". The record is from RNAcentral. Lineage: Eukaryota; Metazoa; Arthropoda; Insecta; Odonata; Lestidae.
UCUUAAGUCGCAGUAAGUAUAUA